Ribosomal RNA from Lepisosteus oculatus (spotted gar), 119 nucleotides. The record is from Ensembl. Lineage: Eukaryota; Metazoa; Chordata; Actinopteri; Semionotiformes; Lepisosteidae.
UGCAGCAGCCAUAUCACCCUGCAACUCACAACUGGCAACCCACUAAAGCUAAGCAGGUGUGAGCCUGGUCAGUACCUGGAUGGGAGACCUCCUGGGAAAAACUAAGGUUGCUGCUGGAA